Molecule: ribosomal RNA, 704 nt
Filed under: Bacillus mycoides
Lineage: Bacteria; Bacillati; Bacillota; Bacilli; Caryophanales; Bacillaceae
Description: bacterial SSU rRNA
Rfam family: Bacterial small subunit ribosomal RNA
Source: RNAcentral
AGCGAAUGGAUUAAGAGCUUGCUCUUAUGAAGUUAGCGGCGGACGGGUGAGUAACACGUGGGUAACCUACCCAUAAGACUGGGAUAACUCCGGGAAACCGGGGCUAAUACCGGAUAAUAUUUUGAACUGCAUAGUUCGAAAUUGAAAGGCGGCUUCGGCUGUCACUUAUGGAUGGACCCGCGUCGCAUUAGCUAGUUGGUGAGGUAACGGCUCACCAAGGCAACGAUGCGUAGCCGACCUGAGAGGGUGAUCGGCCACACUGGGACUGAGACACGGCCCAGACUCCUACGGGAGGCAGCAGUAGGGAAUCUUCCGCAAUGGACGAAAGUCUGACGGAGCAACGCCGCGUGAGUGAUGAAGGCUUUCGGGUCGUAAAACUCUGUUGUUAGGGAAGAACAAGUGCUAGUUGAAUAAGCUGGCACCUUGACGGUACCUAACCAGAAAGCCACGGCUAACUACGUGCCAGCAGCCGCGGUAAUACGUAGGUGGCAAGCGUUAUCCGGAAUUAUUGGGCGUAAAGCGCGCGCAGGUGGUUUCUUAAGUCUGAUGUGAAAGCCCACGGCUCAACCGUGGAGGGUCAUUGGAAACUGGGAGACUUGAGUGCAGAAGAGGAAAGUGGAAUUCCAUGUGUAGCGGUGAAAUGCGUAGAGAUAUGGAGGAACACCAGUGGCGAAGGCGACUUUCUGGUCUGUAACUGACACUGA